Molecule: ribosomal RNA, 429 nt
Filed under: uncultured bacterium
Lineage: Bacteria
Description: bacterial SSU rRNA
Rfam family: Bacterial small subunit ribosomal RNA
Source: RNAcentral
UGGGGAAUAUUGGACAAUGGGCGGAAGCCUGAUCCAGCAAUGCCGCGUGUGUGAAGAAGGCCUGCGGGUUGUAAAGCACUUUAAGCAGGAAAGAAGGGGCGGGAGCUAAUAUCUUUCGUCAUUGACGUUACCUGCAGAAUAAGCACCGGCUAACUCCGUGCCAGCAGCCGCGGUAAUACGGAGGGUGCGAGCGUUAAUCGGAAUUACUGGGCGUAAAGCGCGCGUAGGCGGUUGAAUGAGUCCGUCGUGAAAGCCCUGGGCUUAACCUGGGAACUGCGGUGGAUACUGUUUAGCUAGAGUGUGGUAGAGGGCAGUGGAAUUUCCGGUGUAGCAGUGAAAUGCGUAGAGAUCGGAAGGAACACCAGUGGCGAAGGCGGCUGUCUGGACCAACACUGACGCUGAGGUGCGAAAGCGUGGGGAGCAAACAGG